GUUGGAUUAGCUAGUUGGUAGGGUAAAGGCCUACCAAGGCGACGAUCCAUAACUGGUCUGAGAGGAUGAUCAGUCACACCGGAACUGAGACACGGUCCGGACUCCUACGGGAGGCAGCAGUGGGGAAUAUUGGACAAUGGGGGCAACCCUGAUCCAGCCAUGCCGCGUGUGUGAAGAAGGCCUUCGGGUUGUAAAGCACUUUAAGUGGGGAAAAAGGCUCGCUGGCUAAUACCCAGCGGGAUUGAUACUACCCACAGAAUAAGCACCGGCUAACUCUGUGCCAGCAGCCGCGGUAAUACAGAGGGUGCAAGCGUUAAUCGGAAUUACUGGGCGUAAAGCGCGCGUAGGCGGCUGCCUAAGUCGGGUGUGAAAGCCCCGGGCUCAACCUGGGAACUGCACUCGAUACUGGGCGGCUAGAGUAUGAAAGAGGGAGGUAGAAUUCCACGUGUAGCGGUGAAAUGCGUAGAUAUGUGGAGGAAUACCGGUGGCGAAGGCGGCCUCCUGG
Molecule: ribosomal RNA, 505 nt
Filed under: uncultured Gammaproteobacteria bacterium
Lineage: Bacteria; Pseudomonadati; Pseudomonadota; Gammaproteobacteria
Description: bacterial SSU rRNA
Rfam family: Bacterial small subunit ribosomal RNA
Source: RNAcentral